CCUACGGGAGGCAGCAGUGGGGAAUAUUGCACAAUGGGGGAAACCCUGAUGCAGCGACGCCGCGUGAGUGAAGAAGUAAUUCGUUAUGUAAAGCUCUAUCAGCAGGGAAGAAAAUGACGGUACCUGUGUAAGAAGCCCCGGCUAACUACGUGCCAGCAGCCGCGGUAAUACGUAGGGGGCAAGCGUUAUCCGGAUUUACUGGGUGUAAAGGGAGCGUAGACGGGAGUGCAAGUCUGGAGUGAAAGGCGGGGGCUCAACCCCCGGACUGCUCUGGAAACUGUACGGCUGGAGUGCAGUAGAGGUAAGCGGAAUUCCUAGUGUAGCGGUGAAAUGCGUAGAUAUUAGGAGGAACACCAGUGGCGAAGGCGGCUUACUGGACUGUAACUGACGUUGAGGCUCGAAAGCGUGGGGAGCAAACAGGAUUAGAUACCCGAGUAGUC
RNAcentral lists this ribosomal RNA (440 nucleotides) under uncultured bacterium. RNAcentral's name for it is "partial 16S ribosomal RNA". It matches the Rfam family "Bacterial small subunit ribosomal RNA", at positions 338 to 795 of the family's 1533-position model. The record is from RNAcentral.